UACAGCCAUAUCAUGUUGAAACAAAGGUUCUCAUCUGAUCACUGAAGUUAAGCAAUGUUGAUCCUGGCCAGUACCUAGAUAUGUGAUUGUUUGUGAAUACCGGAUGCUGUAAG
Non-coding RNA from Acanthosepion pharaonis, 113 nucleotides. Lineage: Eukaryota; Metazoa; Mollusca; Cephalopoda; Sepiida; Sepiidae. The record is from the annotation of a GenBank genome assembly.